This 689-nucleotide ribosomal RNA is filed under the name uncultured equine intestinal eubacterium sp. PL02. RNAcentral describes it as "bacterial SSU rRNA". It matches the Rfam family "Bacterial small subunit ribosomal RNA", at positions 797 to 1482 of the family's 1533-position model. The record is from RNAcentral.
AUGCCGUAAACGGUGGGCGCUAGGUGUAGGGGACUUCCACGUCUUCUGUGCCGUAGCUAACGCAUUAAGCGCCCCGCCUGGGGAGUACGGCCGCAAGGCUAAAACUCAAAGGAAUUGACGGGGGCCCGCACAAGCGGCGGAGCAUGUGGAUUAAUUCGAUGCAACGCGAAGAACCUUACCUGGGCUUGACAUACACCGGAUCGCUGCAGAGAUGUAGCUUCCCUUGUGGUCGGUGUACAGGUGGUGCAUGGUUGUCGUCAGCUCGUGUCGUGAGAUGUUGGGUUAAGUCCCGUAACGAGCGCAACCCUUGUCUUAUGUUGCCAGCACGUGAUGGUGGGGACUCAUGAGAGACUGCCGGGGUCAACUCGGAGGAAGGUGGGGAUGACGUCAAAUCAUCAUGCCCCUUAUGUCCAGGGCUUCACACAUGCUACAAUGGUCGGUACAGCAGGUUGCCAGCUCGUAAGAGUGCGCUAAUCCUCUAAAGCCGGCCUCAGUUCGGAUUGGGGUCUGCAACUCGACCCCAUGAAGUCGGAGUCGCUAGUAAUCGCAGAUCAGCAACGCUGCGGUGAAUACGUUCCCGGGCCUUGUACACACCGCCCGUCACGUCAUGAAAGUUGGUAACACCCGAAGCCAGUGGCCCAACACCUUGUGUGGGGGAGCUGUCGAAGGUGGGAUCGGCGAUUGGGACG